UACAGAGGUCUCAAGCGUUGUUCGGAUUCAUUGGGCGUAAAGGGUGCGUAGGCGGCGCGGUAAGUCGGGUGUGAAAUCUCGGAGCUUAACUCCGAAACUGCAUUCGAUACUGCCGUGCUUGAGGACUGGAGAGGAGACUGGAAUUUACAGUGUAGCGGUGAAAUGCGUAGAUAUCGUAAGGAAGACCAGUGGCGAAGGCGGGUCUCUGGACAGUUCCUGACGCUGAGGCACGAAGGUCAGGGGAGCAAACGGG
RNAcentral lists this ribosomal RNA (253 nucleotides) under uncultured bacterium. RNAcentral's name for it is "partial 16S ribosomal RNA". It matches the Rfam family "Bacterial small subunit ribosomal RNA", at positions 524 to 776 of the family's 1533-position model. The record is from RNAcentral.